CCCGGCGCAGGCGGUGGAGCAUGUGGUUAAUUCGACGCAACGCGAAGAACCUUACCUGGGCUUGACAUCUGGGGAAUCUCAUGGAAACAUGGGAGUGCGGAGCGAUCUGAACCCCAAGACAGGUGCUGCAUGGCUGUCGUCAGCUCGUGUCGUGAGAUGUUCGGUUAAGUCCGCUAACGAGCGCAACCCUCGCUGUGUGUUAUAUGUGUCACACGGGACUGCCGGUCUUAAGCCGGAGGAAGGUGGGGAUGAUGUCAAGUCAGCAUGGCCUUUAUAUCCUGGGCUACACACACGCUACAAUGGCCAACACAAUAGGUUGCUAAGCCGCGAGGUGGCGCCAAUCCAUAAAGUUGGUCUCAGUUCAGAUUGUAGGCUGCAACCCGCCUGCAUGAAGAUGGAGUUGCUAGUAACCGCAGGUCAGCUAUACUGCGGUGAAUACGUUCCCGGGGCUU
Molecule: ribosomal RNA, 452 nt
Filed under: uncultured Leptolinea sp.
Lineage: Bacteria; Bacillati; Chloroflexota; Anaerolineae; Anaerolineales; Anaerolineaceae
Description: bacterial SSU rRNA
Rfam family: Bacterial small subunit ribosomal RNA
Source: RNAcentral